AGAAGAGGGUACCACUCGUUAACGUCUAUCGAGCAUUCAUGUUGCAAGACCUCGGGCAAACCCUUCGGACUCUGUGAGCCUCAGUUUCCCCAUGUGCACAAUUGGCUAAUAACAGCUUUUACCUCCCAGGUUGUCACGGGACUCAAUGAGAUGAUCCCUCGGCAUGGUGUCUGGUAGUCAGUGAGCACUGAGUAAGUGUCAGCUCCUAUUAUUGCUGGUGCCGUUGACGUGGUUGACGUCUGAAGGCUGUUGGCGAUUCCACUUGUUCUGUGUUGUCCCUGGAUGUCUAGCUGGGACCUUCAAGAGGAGCCUCCAGGAGGCAGAGUUCAGCUCUGGAGAGGGGGCUUUCGGAUCAGAGCAGCCGGCGAUGCCGUGUUUGAGCUGACAUCCCUUCCGGCACCGUCCUCCUCCCUCUUGCCCGCCCCGCGUCCGCUGGUCUUCCGCUCGUGGUGGUUCCUCCCCUGGAAAGAAGGACUUGAAUCCACUUCCACCUGCCUCAAGGCCUAGACUCCUAACCCCUGCCUCCACCCUCUCCUGGGCCCCCAUGAUAACGAUGGUAAAAAGGGCUGAGGUGUUGCCAGUGGAGUGGAGCUGAUGUUUGCUCAGCCGUGGCAAACUAACAUAGUGACGAUGACAAGCUGGUCUUGCAGAUCGGACCCCCCUGGAGCUCCCUGCUGGAUGAUGACGAGGACGAAUGCCAGCGGGUCUGGACCACUGCUCUCUACACCGGCCAUGGAAAAGGAUUGUCUUUGUCCUCUCCAGAUCCUGGCUCUGCUCUCUGCCUCCCCAUCCCCCAAACGAGGCAGCAGGUAGUGGAUGGUUGACAUGCCUGUUUCCUUCUCUGACAAGGUCAGUUGCCCUGUGAAUGUCUCCAUCCAUCUUACCUGGAGUCAAGCAGCUUCUCUGCCAAGUGUCCAGAACAGAGCCUGAAGGAGACAGGCUGUGUCCCUGACUCCUGCUGGAUCCCCAGGGAAUCCCGGGCCUUCCCCUUUGGAGGGAGAACACGCUGGCAGGGCUGCAGGCUUCUCAGGUGCUCUCAUCCAUCCUGAGCACAACUGGCUAGGAGGGCCUCCCUGGAGAGUGUGCAGAGCCUGAGGCCGGCUGCUUCCUUUGGGUGCAAGGGAGCACAAGGACAGGACGCCAACCCAGGUGCACCUUCAGAGCCAGGCCGUGUGCCAUCAAGAAGGCCCUGCCCCACGCUCCCCGCUUGUUCAACCAGCACAAAGGCAAAUGGCCAAGGGAAGAUUACUAAGCAUCUCUCAUGGGUCCCCUUCUCUCUCCCCUCUGCCCGACCCACAUCAGGCCCUGCUGGCCCUGCCUGGACACUGCCCAGUCCUCCUGGCCCCCAGACCUACCCUCACAUGGUUGUCAGGUGCUCUUU
This 1381-nucleotide long non-coding RNA is filed under the name Equus caballus (horse). RNAcentral describes it as "lncRNA (ENSECAG00000060256.1)". Lineage: Eukaryota; Metazoa; Chordata; Mammalia; Perissodactyla; Equidae. The record is from RNAcentral.